UAAACAGACGUCUUAAUCGUCUCAGACUAUAUUAAUUCGUCUAAUACAAAUACGAGUAAACUUGAUUUAAUCGAGGGGCAAUUCACUCCAAAAAUCCCGUACACUUCGUCAAAAAAUCCGGAAAAAAUCCAGAAAAAAUCCAUGAAAUCCUCAAAAUCCAUUGAAUCCAUCAAAAUCCAAAAAAUCCUUUAAAAACCACAGAAAUCCUUCAAAAAUCCACAGAAAUCCUUCAAAAUCCUUAAAAAAUCCGCAAAUCCACAAAAAAUAUAUGAAGUACUUGGUGUAAUUUACUCGUAAAGGUUCUUUGCCACGUUCAAAAUGGCGGACAGCGAAAGCUAAAUGCUUACCGUGAUCGCUGUCAUUAUAUUUCGUAAUUAUUGGACCACUCUACAUUUCCAUUUAUACGCUCGAGUAUACGCUAAGUUUUUUUAGCCUAUUACUACUAAAUAUGUGUUCUUGUUACAAUGACGUUAUGUUGUAAAAUAUAAUUACAAAACCAAAAGUUAUUCACCAUUGUCUUUUACUGCUUUUGAAAGAAUAAUGAACUUGUUUGAAUUUUAUACAAAUUGACUGCAUGCACAGCCUUCGUUAAUAGUUUCAGAAGGCUGUGGUCCUAGUCCCAGUCCUCUGCUCGACCCUGACGUCC
Paramuricea clavata is the source of this 646-nucleotide non-coding RNA. NCBI's taxonomy places the organism in Eukaryota, Metazoa, Cnidaria, Anthozoa, Malacalcyonacea, Plexauridae. The record is from the annotation of a GenBank genome assembly.